AGUCGAGCGGUAGCACAGGAGAGCUUGCUCUCUGGGUGACGAGCGGCGGACGGGUGAGUAAUGUCUGGGAAACUGCCUGAUGGAGGGGGAUAACUACUGGAAACGGUAGCUAAUACCGCAUAACGUCGCAAGACCAAAGAGGGGGACCUUCGGGCCUCUCGCCAUCAGAUGUGCCCAGAUGGGAUUAGCUAGUAGGUGGGGUAAUGGCUCACCUAGGCGACGAUCCCUAGCUGGUCUGAGAGGAUGACCAGCCACACUGGAACUGAGACACGGUCCAGACUCCUACGGGAGGCAGCAGUGGGGAAUAUUGCACAAUGGGCGCAAGCCUGAUGCAGCCAUGCCGCGUGUAUGAAGAAGGCCUUCGGGUUGUAAAGUACUUUCAGCGAGGAGGAAGGCAUUGUGGUUAAUAACCGCAGUGAUUGACGUUACUCGCAGAAGAAGCACCGGCUAACUCCGUGCCAGCAGCCGCGGUAAUACGGAGGGUGCAAGCGUUAAUCGGAAUUACUGGGCGUAAAGCGCACGCAGGCGGUCUGUCAAGUCGGAUGUGGAAUCCCCGGGCUCAACCUGGGAACUGCAUUCGAAACUGGCAGGCUAGAGUCUUGUAGAGGGGGGUAGAAUUCCAGGUGUAGCGGUGAAAUGCGU
Molecule: ribosomal RNA, 642 nt
Filed under: uncultured bacterium
Lineage: Bacteria
Description: bacterial SSU rRNA
Rfam family: Bacterial small subunit ribosomal RNA
Source: RNAcentral